Molecule: long non-coding RNA, 477 nt
Organism: Hyla sarda
Lineage: Eukaryota; Metazoa; Chordata; Amphibia; Anura; Hylidae
Exons: 3
Source: RefSeq, a predicted model, not a curated record
UAAAGGCUGAAGGUAGAUGUGAUUCUCAAGCCUACUGAAUACUGUCCAAACCAGAAAUGAGUGACAUUAACAGUAACUGAAGUUCUGCUUCAAAACCGAGAUUGGUACACAAGCAUCUAGUCAUGACUAAUGCUGAUCUAUUUACUUACAUUGAACACGUGCUGGAAAAGGAUCGCAUUAUCAAUAAGAACACUGUUUCGGAGACUUCUCUGAAUAUUUGUGCUUGUGGAACAUAACUCCACCGCAGGCAGGCAGAAAAAGGAAACCCUGAGUGAAAGGAGUCGUGGUAAUGAAUCAGAGUGUAAAGGAAGGAAUUGCUUGUGUGUAUAGAGCUCUCAAUGCUCUCCUGCAAUGGGUGUGGGAGUCUGGAUUACUUGGCUCAACAAUCGAUAUAAGCUAAGAAUUGUGGAAGGUGAAGCUUGUUCUUUCUAUACAUUAUUUUCCACUACUUGCUGCCUACACCCAUUAGUCAGUUUC